This 336-nucleotide ribosomal RNA is filed under the name Escherichia coli. Its description in RNAcentral is "partial 23S ribosomal RNA". It matches the Rfam family "Bacterial large subunit ribosomal RNA", at positions 1158 to 1497 of the family's 2925-position model. Lineage: Bacteria; Pseudomonadati; Pseudomonadota; Gammaproteobacteria; Enterobacterales; Enterobacteriaceae. The record is from RNAcentral.
ACUGCGCCGAAAAUGUACCGGGGCUAAACAUAUUACCAAAGCUGUGGAGUGUCCUUUGGACAAUGGUAGGAGAGCGUUCUAAGGGCGUUGAAGCAUGAUCGUAAGGACAUGUGGAGCGCUUAGAAGUGAGAAUGCCGGUGUGAGUAGCGAAAGACGGGUGAGAAUCCCGUCCACCGAUUGACUAAGGUUUCCAGAGGAAGGCUCGUCCGCUCUGGGUUAGUCGGGUCCUAAGCUGAGGCCGACAGGCGUAGGCGAUGGAUAACAGGUUGAUAUUCCUGUACCACCUAUAAUCGUUUUAAUCGAUGGGGGGACGCAGUAGGAUAGGCGAAGCGUGCG